RNAcentral lists this ribosomal RNA (644 nucleotides) under uncultured fungus. Its description in RNAcentral is "eukaryotic LSU rRNA". It matches the Rfam family "Eukaryotic large subunit ribosomal RNA", at positions 24 to 664 of the family's 3401-position model. The record is from RNAcentral. Lineage: Eukaryota; Fungi.
CCCGCUGAACUUAAGCAUAUCAAUAAGCGGAGGAAAAGAAACUAACAAGGAUUCCCCUAGUAACUGCGAGUGAAGCGGGAAGAGCUCAAAUUUUGAAUCUGGCGGUGUUUGGCCGUCCGAGUUGUAAUCUAGAGAAGCGUCUUCCGCGCCGGACCGUGCACAAGUCUCCUGGAAUGGAGCCUCAUAGAGGGUGAGAAUCCCGUCUUUGGCACGGACGACCGGGGCUUUUGUGAUGCGCUCUCGAAGAGUCGAGUUGUUUGGGAAUGCAGCUCAAAAUGGGUGGUAAAUUCCAUCUAAAGCUAAAUACAGGCGAGAGACCGAUAGCGAACAAGUACCGUGAGGGAAAGAUGAAAAGAACUUUGGAAAGAGAGUUAAACAGUAUGUGAAAUUGCUGAAAGGGAAACGCUUGAUGUCAGUCACGUUGGCUAGGGAUCAACCUUGCUUCUCGCUGGGUGUAUUUCCUAGUGGACGGGUCAGCAUCAGUUUCGGUCGCUGUACAAGGGCAAAGGGAACGUGGCACUCCUUGGAGUGUGUUAUAGCCUUUCGUCGUAUGCAGUGGUUGGGACUGAGGAACUCGGCACGAAAUCUAUUUUGUGCUUAGGAUGCUGGCAUAAUGGCCUUAAGCGACCCGUCUUGAAACACGG